This 253-nucleotide ribosomal RNA is filed under the name uncultured bacterium. RNAcentral's name for it is "partial 16S ribosomal RNA". It matches the Rfam family "Bacterial small subunit ribosomal RNA", at positions 524 to 776 of the family's 1533-position model. The record is from RNAcentral.
UACGGGGGGGGUAAGCGUUGUUCGGAAUUACUGGGCGUAAAGGGCUCGUAGGCGGCCAACUAAGUCAUACGUGAAAUCCCUCAGCUUAACUGGGGAACUGCGUGUGAUACUGGAUGGCUUGGAUUUGGGAGAGGGAUGCGGAAUUCCAGGUGUAGCGGUGAAAUGCGUAGAGAUGUGGAAGAACACCGAUGGCGAAGGCAGCCCCCUGGGAUGAGACUGACGCUCAUGCACGAAAGCGUGGGGAGCAAACAGG